This 193-nucleotide ribosomal RNA is filed under the name uncultured bacterium. RNAcentral's name for it is "partial 16S ribosomal RNA". It matches the Rfam family "Bacterial small subunit ribosomal RNA", at positions 1307 to 1500 of the family's 1533-position model. The record is from RNAcentral.
GCAACCCGCCUGCAUGAAGUCGGAAUUGCUAGUAAUCGCGGAUCAGCAUGCCGCGGUGAAUACGUUCCCGGGCCUUGUACACACCGCCCGUCACACCAUGGGAGCCGGUAAUACCCGAAGUCAGUAGUCCAACCACGUGAGGACGCUGCCGAAGGUAGGAUUGGCGACUGGGGUGAAGUCGUAACAAGGUAGC